Molecule: ribosomal RNA, 460 nt
Filed under: uncultured bacterium
Lineage: Bacteria
Description: bacterial SSU rRNA
Rfam family: Bacterial small subunit ribosomal RNA
Source: RNAcentral
GAUGAACGCUGGCGGUAUGCCUAACACAUGCAAGUCGUACGAGAGUUUUUAACUCUAGUGGCGGACGGGUGAGUAACACGUGAGAAUUUGCCUUUAGGAGGGGGACAACAAUCGGAAACGAAUGCUAAUACCCCAUAUGCUUUCGAGUGAAAUGGAUUUUAUCCGCCUAGAGAGAAGCUCGCGGCUGAUUAGCUUGUUGGUAAGGUAAGAGCUUACCAAGGCGACGAUCAGUAUCUGGUUUGAGAGGACGAUCAGACACACUGGAACUUAGACACGGUCCAGACUCCUACGGGAGGCAGCAGUGGGGAAUUUUCCGCAAUGGGCGAAAGCCUGACGGAGCAAUACCGCGUGAGGGAAGAAUGCCUAUGGGUUGUAAACCUCUUUUUUCAGGGAGGAAUCAAAUGACGUGUACCUGAAGAAUAAGCAUCGGCUAACUCCGUGCCAGCAGCCGCCGUAAAAC